Unclassified non-coding RNA from Colobus angolensis palliatus, 287 nucleotides. It matches the Rfam family "Metazoan signal recognition particle RNA". Rfam says of the family: The signal recognition particle (SRP) is a universally conserved ribonucleoprotein. It is involved in the co-translational targeting of proteins to membranes. The record is from Ensembl. Lineage: Eukaryota; Metazoa; Chordata; Mammalia; Primates; Cercopithecidae.
GUAGCAUGCCUGUAGUCUCAGCUACUCAGGAGACUGAGGUGAGGGAUUGCUUGGGCCUAGAAGUUCUGGGCUAUGGUGCACUAUGUGGAUCAGGUGGCUGCACUAAGUUCAGCACCAACGUGGUGACCUCCCAGGAGCAGAAGACCACCAGGCUGCCUAAGGCCAGGUGAACCACCCUAAGUCACAAAUGCAGCAGGUCAAAACUCCCAUGCUAAUCAGUGGUGGAAUCACGUGUCUAAAUAGUCUCUGUACUCCAGCCUGGGCAACACAGCAAGACCCUAUCUCCU